AUGGCUUGGGAUGAUAUUCACAAUUUUCACAAAAAGGGUACUCACCCAUGGGUGAUCCUAGGAGAUUUUAAUGAAAUCCUAUACGCUUCUGAAAAACAGGGCGGUAAUAUGAGACCAAAUGCAAUGAUGAAAGGCUUCUGAGAAUGCCUAAUGGAGUGUGGGUUAGAGGACAUGGUAUUUUUGGGUGAUCCAUUUACUUGGAGGAGAGGCAAUAUUAGGGAAAGACUCAACUGGGCGGUUUGUAAUGUUGAAUGGGCUCUUAAAUUUCCCCGUGCCGCAAUUAUAAACGAGGAACAUGUACACUCUAAUCAUCUCCCAUUAAUUUUGGAUAUGGAUUACUUAUUUUUAGCUGUUCGAAGGGUCGUGCAAAACAAUUUGAAGCUAGAUGGCUCAAGGAAGAAACAAUCGAGGAAAUUGUCAGGUGCCCCUAGGAAAAUGCAAAAUUGGCGGCCAUUGGGCCAACUCUUGUGGAGCGUACAAGAUUCGUGCAUGCGGACUUACAAGCUUGGGAUCAUGACACUCUGA
Molecule: ribosomal RNA, 525 nt
Filed under: Triticum aestivum (bread wheat)
Lineage: Eukaryota; Viridiplantae; Streptophyta; Magnoliopsida; Poales; Poaceae
Description: partial small subunit ribosomal RNA
Source: RNAcentral